AGCUACUGUGCGGGCACGGACCUGGACCACAUAGCGGGCGUCAGGCCGAAGCCCGUCCAGCUGCACGGAGUUCAUCUGGCUGGUCACUGUGGAGGCGAUGCCCUCGCUCUGCAAUGCCAGGAGAGUCCAGGAUGACUCCGUUGGGCCGCUCUGGGGGUGCCCAGGAUAGGGUGAGGCUGCUGCCUGAGCUGCUGUGCAGGCGUAGUGUGGGCACUUCAGACGGGGCUGGGAAGAGCAGAG
RNAcentral lists this long non-coding RNA (240 nucleotides) under Homo sapiens (human). RNAcentral's name for it is "HSALNT0065550". The record is from RNAcentral. Lineage: Eukaryota; Metazoa; Chordata; Mammalia; Primates; Hominidae.